GAUGAAGAACGUAGCGAAAUGCGAUAAGUAGUGUGAAUUGCAGAAUUCAGUGAAUCAUCGAAUCUUUGAACGCACAUUGCGCCCUUUGGUAUUCCUUAGGGCAUGCCUGUUCGAGCGUCAUUUAAACCUUCAAGCUCAGCUUGGUGAUGGGCGACUGUCCCCCCCCCCCUCGCGGGGGGGACUCGCCUCAAAAACAUUGGCGGCCGGUACAUUGGCUUCGAGCGCAGCAGAAACGCGGUCUCGAGCCCGGUGGAUCGGCUCCCAUAAGCCUAUUCUUUUAUUUUGACCUCGGAUCAGGUAGGGAUACCCGCUGAACUUAAGCAUAUCAAUAAGCGGAGGA
RNAcentral lists this unclassified non-coding RNA (340 nucleotides) under soil metagenome. Its description in RNAcentral is "partial contains 5.8S ribosomal RNA, internal transcribed spacer 2, and large subunit ribosomal RNA". The stretch from base 1 to 120 matches the Rfam family "5.8S ribosomal RNA", at positions 35 to 154 of the family's 154-position model. The record is from RNAcentral.